This is a non-coding RNA of Pelobates cultripes (western spadefoot toad), 242 nucleotides long. The record is from the annotation of a GenBank genome assembly. Lineage: Eukaryota; Metazoa; Chordata; Amphibia; Anura; Pelobatidae.
CUUAAUAAUAUGCAGCAUAUCUCCCACUGGCAUUUCCUGCUCUAUCCUCCUCAAGAUGGACAACACCUCAGCUAUGUAUUACACCAAUCAACUGGGGGGAACGAAGUCGAGGAUUUUGGAAGUUAUGGCUCAGGAGUUUUGGCAUUAUUGCCUACAUCACAACAUAUCAAUGAUAGCAGAACAUAGUCCGGGCCAGUAAAAUACUACAGUGGACUGGAGUUCUCAAUACCUACGAUAAGCAG